GAUGAACGCUGGCGGCGUGCUUAACACAUGCAAGUCGAACGAUGAAGCCCAGCUUGCUGGGUGGAUUAGUGGCGAACGGGUGAGUAACACGUGAGCAACCUGCCCCUGACUCUGGGAUAAGCGCUGGAAACGGCGUCUAAUACUGGAUAUGUCCCGUCACCGCAUGGUGUGCGGGUGGAAAGAUUUUUCGGUUGGGGAUGGGCUCGCGGCCUAUCAGCUUGUUGGUGAGGUAAUGGCUCACCAAGGCGUCGACGGGUAGCCGGCCUGAGAGGGUGACCGGCCACACUGGGACUGCGACACGGCCCAGACUCCUACGGGAGGCAGCAGUGGGGAAUAUUGCACAAUGGGCGGAAGCCUGAUGCAGCAACGCCGCGUGAGGGAUGACGGCCUUCGGGUUGUAAACCUCUUUUAGCAGGGAAGAAGCGAAAGUGACGGUACCUGCAGAAAAAGCACCGGCUAACUACGUG
Molecule: ribosomal RNA, 467 nt
Filed under: uncultured bacterium
Lineage: Bacteria
Description: partial 16S ribosomal RNA
Rfam family: Bacterial small subunit ribosomal RNA
Source: RNAcentral